RNAcentral lists this ribosomal RNA (253 nucleotides) under uncultured bacterium. RNAcentral describes it as "partial 16S ribosomal RNA". It matches the Rfam family "Bacterial small subunit ribosomal RNA", at positions 524 to 776 of the family's 1533-position model. The record is from RNAcentral.
UACGUAGGGUGCAGGCGUUACUCGGAAUUACUGGGCGUAAAGCGUGCGCAGGCGGCUUUGCAAGUCAGAUGUGAAAUCCCCGGGCUUAACCUGGGAACUGCAUUUGUGACUGCAUGGCUAGAGUGCGGCAGAGGGGGAUGGAAUUCCGCGUGUAGCAGUGAAAUGCGUAGAUAUGCGGAGGAACACCGAUGGCGAAGGCAACCCCCUGGGCCUGUACUGACGCUCAUGCACGAAAGCGUGGGGAGCAAACAGG